This 103-nucleotide non-coding RNA is filed under the name Algoriphagus antarcticus. Lineage: Bacteria; Pseudomonadati; Bacteroidota; Cytophagia; Cytophagales; Cyclobacteriaceae. The record is from RNAcentral.
GUCUCAAGACGUCUGGAACGUCCAAGAGAAGUCAGCCGAGGUCAUAGUAGUUAUCGGAAACGAGCUGUAAAUACUACAGAGGUCUCACUAGAUAAUGAAGGAC